GGCAGCUCAGUCGGUAGAGCAUGAGACUCUUAAUCUCAGGGUCGUGGGUUUAAGCCCCACAUUGGCCA
Molecule: non-coding RNA, 68 nt
Organism: Podarcis lilfordi (Lilford's wall lizard)
Lineage: Eukaryota; Metazoa; Chordata; Lepidosauria; Squamata; Lacertidae
Source: the annotation of a GenBank genome assembly